RNAcentral lists this transfer RNA (76 nucleotides) under Micromonosporaceae bacterium. Its description in RNAcentral is "tRNA-Lys". It matches the Rfam family "tRNA". Rfam says of the family: Transfer RNA (tRNA) molecules are approximately 80 nucleotides in length. Their secondary structure includes four short double-helical elements and three loops (D, anti-codon, and T loops). Further hydrogen bonds mediate the characteristic L-shaped molecular structure. tRNAs have two regions of fundamental functional importance: the anti-codon, which is responsible for specific mRNA codon recognition, and the 3' end, to which the tRNAs corresponding amino acid is attached (by aminoacyl-tRNA synthetases). tRNAs cope with the degeneracy of the genetic code in two manners: having more than one tRNA (with a specific anti-codon) for a particular amino acid; and 'wobble' base-pairing, i.e. permitting non-standard base-pairing at the 3rd anti-codon position. Lineage: Bacteria; Bacillati; Actinomycetota; Actinomycetes; Micromonosporales; Micromonosporaceae. The record is from RNAcentral.
GGGCCGUUAGCUCAAUCGGCAGAGCUGCUGACUUUUAAUCAGUAGGUUCAGGGUUCGAGUCCCUGGCGGCCCACCA